This 1224-nucleotide ribosomal RNA is filed under the name Pediococcus pentosaceus. RNAcentral's name for it is "bacterial SSU rRNA". It matches the Rfam family "Bacterial small subunit ribosomal RNA", at positions 273 to 1476 of the family's 1533-position model. Lineage: Bacteria; Bacillati; Bacillota; Bacilli; Lactobacillales; Lactobacillaceae. The record is from RNAcentral.
CCGUUAAUCGGGCCCCGCCCUGGAAGAGGUUAUUCGCCCCACAUGGGGGAUUGAAACCCCGGCCCCAGAUCUCUUACCGGGAGGCAACCAGUAGGGAAUUCUUCCACAAUGGAACCCAAGUCUGAUGGAGCAACCCCCGCGUGAAUGAAGAAGGGUUUCGGCUCGUAAAGCUCUGUUGUUAAAGAAGAACGUGGGUAAGAGUAACUGUUUACCCAGUGACGGUAUUUAACCAGAAAGCCACGGCUAACUACGUGCCAGCAGCCGCGGUAAUACGUAGGUGGCAAGCGUUAUCCGGAUUUAUUGGGCGUAAAGCGAGCGCAGGCGGUCUUUUAAGUCUAAUGUGAAAGCCUUCGGCUCAACCGAAGAAGUGCAUUGGAAACUGGGAGACUUGAGUGCAGAAGAGGACAGUGGAACUCCAUGUGUAGCGGUGAAAUGCGUAGAUAUAUGGAAGAACACCAGUGGCGAAGGCGGCUGUCUGGUCUGCAACUGACGCUGAGGCUCGAAAGCAUGGGUAGCGAACAGGAUUAGAUACCCUGGUAGUCCAUGCCGUAAACGAUGAUUACUAAGUGUUGGAGGGUUUCCGCCCUUCAGUGCUGCAGCUAACGCAUUAAGUAAUCCGCCUGGGGAGUACGACCGCAAGGUUGAAACUCAAAAGAAUUGACGGGGGCCCGCACAAGCGGUGGAGCAUGUGGUUUAAUUCGAAGCUACGCGAAGAACCUUACCAGGUCUUGACAUCUUCUGACAGUCUAAGAGAUUAGAGGUUCCCUUCGGGGACAGAAUGACAGGUGGUGCAUGGUUGUCGUCAGCUCGUGUCGUGAGAUGUUGGGUUAAGUCCCGCAACGAGCGCAACCCUUAUUACUAGUUGCCAGCAUUAAGUUGGGCACUCUAGUGAGACUGCCGGUGACAAACCGGAGGAAGGUGGGGACGACGUCAAAUCAUCAUGCCCCUUAUGACCUGGGCUACACACGUGCUACAAUGGAUGGUACAACGAGUCGCGAGACCGCGAGGUUAAGCUAAUCUCUUAAAACCAUUCUCAGUUCGGACUGUAGGCUGCAACUCGCCUACACGAAGUCGGAAUCGCUAGUAAUCGCGGAUCAGCAUGCCGCGGUGAAUACGUUCCCGGGCCUUGUACACACCGCCCGUCACACCAUGAGAGUUUGUAACACCCAAAGCCGGUGGGGUAACCUUUUAGGAGCUAGCCGUCUAAGUGACAGAGAUGAAAUU